RNAcentral lists this ribosomal RNA (640 nucleotides) under Alternaria sp. CSV10. RNAcentral's name for it is "eukaryotic LSU rRNA". The stretch from base 149 to 302 matches the Rfam family "5.8S ribosomal RNA". The record is from RNAcentral. Lineage: Eukaryota; Fungi; Ascomycota; Dothideomycetes; Pleosporales; Pleosporaceae.
GGCUGGACCUCUCGGGGUUACAGCCUUGCUGAAUUAUUCACCCUUGUCUUUUGCGUACUUCUUGUUUCCUUGGUGGGUUCGCCCACCACUAGGACAAACAUAAACCUUUUGUAAUUGCAAUCAGCGUCAGUAACAAAUUAAUAAUUACAACUUUCAACAACGGAUCUCUUGGUUCUGGCAUCGAUGAAGAACGCAGCGAAAUGCGAUAAGUAGUGUGAAUUGCAGAAUUCAGUGAAUCAUCGAAUCUUUGAACGCACAUUGCGCCCUUUGGUAUUCCAAAGGGCAUGCCUGUUCGAGCGUCAUUUGUACCCUCAAGCUUUGCUUGGUGUUGGGCGUCUUGUCUCUAGCUUUGCUGGAGACUCGCCUUAAAGUAAUUGGCAGCCGGCCUACUGGUUUCGGAGCGCAGCACAAGUCGCACUCUCUAUCAGCAAAGGUCUAGCAUCCAUUAAGCCUUUUUUCAACUUUUGACCUCGGAUCAGGUAGGGAUACCCGCUGAACUUAAGCAUAUCAUGCGGAGGGAUGAUUACACAAAUAUGAAGGCGGGCUGGAACCUCUCGGGGUUACAGCCUUGCUGAAUUAUUCACCCUUGUCUUUUGCGUACUUCUUGUUUCCUUGGUGGGUUCGCCCACCACUAGGACAA